This is a microRNA precursor of Oryza sativa Japonica Group (Japanese rice), 194 nucleotides long. It matches the Rfam family "MIR812 microRNA precursor family". The record is from Rfam. NCBI's taxonomy places the organism in Eukaryota, Viridiplantae, Streptophyta, Magnoliopsida, Poales, Poaceae.
GUUCACUGCUCCCUCCGUCCCAUUUUCACGCCUAACUUUAAUCGUCUGUUUUUUUAUAAUUUAUAUCUUUAUUGUUAUGAGAUGAUAAAACAUGAAUAGUAUUUUAUGUGUGACUUAUAUUUUUAAUUUUUUUAAAAAAAUUGAAUAAGAUGAAUGGUUAAAGUUGUACGCGGAAAAUUAUGGCUGCAUUCAAA